GGGCCCGUGGCCUAGCCUGGAUAAGGCGCCAGCCUUCUAAGCUGGAUUUCAGGGGUUCGAAUCCCCUCGGGUCCG
RNAcentral lists this transfer RNA (75 nucleotides) under Thermoplasmatota archaeon. RNAcentral describes it as "Candidatus Thermoplasmatota archaeon tRNA-Arg". It matches the Rfam family "tRNA". From Rfam's summary of the family: Transfer RNA (tRNA) molecules are approximately 80 nucleotides in length. Their secondary structure includes four short double-helical elements and three loops (D, anti-codon, and T loops). Further hydrogen bonds mediate the characteristic L-shaped molecular structure. tRNAs have two regions of fundamental functional importance: the anti-codon, which is responsible for specific mRNA codon recognition, and the 3' end, to which the tRNAs corresponding amino acid is attached (by aminoacyl-tRNA synthetases). tRNAs cope with the degeneracy of the genetic code in two manners: having more than one tRNA (with a specific anti-codon) for a particular amino acid; and 'wobble' base-pairing, i.e. permitting non-standard base-pairing at the 3rd anti-codon position. The record is from RNAcentral. Lineage: Archaea; Methanobacteriati; Thermoplasmatota.